GCCAGGCAUGGUGGUGCAUGCCUAUAGUCCCAGCUGCUCAGGAGGCUGAGGUGGGAGGAUGGCUUGAGCCCAGGAGGCAGAGGUUGCAGUGAGCCAAGAUCGUGCCACUGCACUCCAACCUGGGCAACACAGCCAGAACUUGUCUCAU
This 148-nucleotide non-coding RNA is filed under the name Gorilla gorilla gorilla (western lowland gorilla). The record is from Rfam by way of RNAcentral. Lineage: Eukaryota; Metazoa; Chordata; Mammalia; Primates; Hominidae.